GAACUUAAGCAUAUCAAUAAGCGCAGGAAAAGAAACCAACAGGGAUUACCUCAGUAACGGCGAGUGAAGCGGUAAUAGCUCAAAUUUGAAAUCUGGCCUCUUGGGGUCCGAGUUGUAAUUUGUAGAGGAUGUUUUGGGUACCGCCCCGGUCUAAAUUUCUUGGAACAGAAUGUCAAAGAGGGUGAGAAUCCCGUCUUGGACCGGCGGUAGGGCCUGUGUAAAACUCCUUCGACGAGUCGAGUUGUUUGGGAAUGCAGCUCAAAAUGGGUGGUAAAUUUCAUCUAAAGCUAAAUAUUGGCCAGAGACCGAUAGCGCACAAGUAGAGUGAUCGAAAGAUGAAAAGCACUUUGAAAAGAGAGUUAAACAGUAUGUGAAAUUGUUGAAAGGGAAGCGCUUGCAACCAGACUUGAGCGCGGCGGUUCCCCCGGUCUUUUGGCCGGGCUACUCCGUCGUGUCCAGGCCAACAUCGGUUCUGAGGGUCGGUCAAAGGCCUUGGGAAUGUAUCUACCCACGGGUAGACUUAUAGACCAGGGUGUCAUGCGGCCUCUCGGGACCGAGGAACGCGCUUCGGCUCGGAUGUUGGCGUAAUGGUUGUCAGCGACCCGUCUUGAAACACGGACCAAGGAGUCUAACAUCUAUGCGAGUGUUUGGGUGUCAAACCCGGAACGCGAAAUGAAAGUGAACGGAGGUAGGAAGCUUCGGCUGCACUAUCGACCGAUCCUGAAGUUUACGGAUGGAUUUGAGUAAGAGCAUAGCUGUUGGGACCCGAAA
This 771-nucleotide ribosomal RNA is filed under the name uncultured fungus. RNAcentral describes it as "eukaryotic LSU rRNA". It matches the Rfam family "Eukaryotic large subunit ribosomal RNA", at positions 30 to 821 of the family's 3401-position model. Lineage: Eukaryota; Fungi. The record is from RNAcentral.